RNAcentral lists this transfer RNA (36 nucleotides) under Paleosuchus palpebrosus (Cuvier's dwarf caiman). Its description in RNAcentral is "partial tRNA-Arg". Lineage: Eukaryota; Metazoa; Chordata; Crocodylia; Alligatoridae. The record is from RNAcentral.
CGCCUCCAUAGGCGCUAGUCUAACACAAGACCUCUA